CCCUUAGAUGUCCUGGGCCGCACGCGUGCUACACUGACGCAUACAGCGAGCACUUUCCAGUUCCGAGAGGCUUCUGGUAAUCAUCAAUAUGCGUCGUGAUGGGGAUAGAUCUUUGGAAUUCUGGAUCUUGAACGAGGAAUGCCUAGUAAUCGCAGGUCAUUAGCCUGCGAUGAUUAAGUCCCUGCCCUUUGUACGCACCGCCCGUCGCUACUACCGAUUUCGAGUGGUCAGGUGAAUCUUUCGGACUGUGGGCGCCCUUGAGGUGUUCGCGGAAAGUCAGGUAAAUCUUAUCACUUAGAGGAAGUAAAAGUCGUAACA
This 318-nucleotide ribosomal RNA is filed under the name uncultured eukaryote. Its description in RNAcentral is "partial 18S ribosomal RNA". It matches the Rfam family "Eukaryotic small subunit ribosomal RNA", at positions 1470 to 1796 of the family's 1831-position model. The record is from RNAcentral.